Molecule: ribosomal RNA, 371 nt
Filed under: Shigella flexneri
Lineage: Bacteria; Pseudomonadati; Pseudomonadota; Gammaproteobacteria; Enterobacterales; Enterobacteriaceae
Also listed under: 1 other name
Description: partial 16S ribosomal RNA
Rfam family: Bacterial small subunit ribosomal RNA
Source: RNAcentral
AAAUUGAAGAGUUUGAUCAUGGCUCAGAUUGAACGCUGGCGGCAGGCCUAACACAUGCAAGUCGAACGGUAACAGGAAACAGCUUGCUGUUUCGCUGACGAGUGGCGGACGGGUGAGUAAUGUCUGGGAAACUGCCUGAUGGAGGGGGAUAACUACUGGAAACGGUAGCUAAUACCGCAUAACGUCGCAAGACCAAAGAGGGGGACCUUCGGGCCUCUUGCCAUCGGAUGUGCCCAGAUGGGAUUAGCUAGUAGGUGGGGUAACGGCUCACCUAGGCGACGAUCCCUAGCUGGUCUGAGAGGAUGACCAGCCACACUGGAACUGAGACACGGUCCAGACUCCUACGGGAGGCAGCAGUGGGGAAUAUUGCA